Molecule: ribosomal RNA, 247 nt
Filed under: uncultured Actinomycetes bacterium
Lineage: Bacteria; Bacillati; Actinomycetota; Actinomycetes
Description: uncultured actinobacterium partial 16S ribosomal RNA
Rfam family: Bacterial small subunit ribosomal RNA
Source: RNAcentral
AACGAACGCUGGCGGCAUGCCUAACACAUGCAAGUCGAGCGGUAAGGCCCUUUCGGGGGUACACGAGCGGCGAACGGGUGAGUAACACGUGGGUGACCUGCCCUCAGCUCUGGGAUAAGCCUGGGAAACCGGGUCUAAUACUGGAUAUGACUCCAUGACGCAUGUUGUGGGGUGGAAAGCCUUGUGCGGCUGAGGAUGGGCCCGCGGCCUAUCAGCUUGUUGGUGGGGUGAUGGCCUACCAAGGCGA